AGAGUUUGAUCCUGGCUCAGAUUGAACGCUGGCGGCAGGCCUAACACAUGCAAGUCGAGCGGAUGAGUGGAGCUUGCUCCAUGAUUCAGCGGCGGACGGGUGAGUAAUGCCUAGGAAUCUGCCUGGUAGUGGGGGACAACGUUUCGAAAGGAACGCUAAUACCGCAUACGUCCUACGGGAGAAAGCAGGGGACCUUCGGGCCUUGCGCUAUCAGAUGAGCCUAGGUCGGAUUAGCUAGUUGGUGAGGUAAAGGCUCACCAAGGCGACGAUCCGUAACUGGUCUGAGAGGAUGAUCAGUCACACUGGAACUGAGACACGGUCCAGACUCCUACGGGAGGCAGCAGUGGGGAAUAUUGGACAAUGGGCGAAAGCCUGAUCCAGCCAUGCCG
RNAcentral lists this ribosomal RNA (389 nucleotides) under bacterium enrichment culture clone 136. RNAcentral's name for it is "bacterial SSU rRNA". It matches the Rfam family "Bacterial small subunit ribosomal RNA", at positions 8 to 399 of the family's 1533-position model. The record is from RNAcentral.